This is a long non-coding RNA of Poeciliopsis prolifica (blackstripe livebearer), 343 nucleotides long. RefSeq lists it as uncharacterized. The record is from RefSeq and is a predicted model, not a curated record. The transcript is spliced from 6 exons. NCBI's taxonomy places the organism in Eukaryota, Metazoa, Chordata, Actinopteri, Cyprinodontiformes, Poeciliidae.
GAGAAAUGGCUUCAGAUCAUCAGUGAAGGUUUAUAAACCCUCCAUUCCCCUGUUGAAGACACAUUGCUUCCAGAAAGUCCUGCUGCUGCUUUGAUUCUUCAUCACAAGAUGAAAUUCAUCCUUUUUACUUUGUUCCUCUGUGGAUUCAUCCUGGAAAUCAAUGCAGAUUUUCUCACCCCAAGAGUUCUUCGUGUGGCAUGUGAGGAAUCAUUGGCUGAAUAUGGUGUGAACAUGGGACAAUAUAUCUGCUGAGUGCUAAAUAUGGACGUAGUGACCAGACGACGUGCUCUUAUGAGAUACCUUACGACAAGAUAAAGAAUACUGGUUGUUCUACGAGGGCAGA